GACGAACGCUGGCGGCGUGCUUAACACAUGCAAGUCGAACGGUAAGGCCCUUCGGGGUACACGAGUGGCGAACGGGUGAGUAACACGUGGGUGAUCUGCCCUGCACUUCGGGAUAAGCCUGGGAAACUGGGUCUAAUACCGGAUACUGACCACUGGGGGCAUCCUCGGUGGUCGAAAGCUCCGGCGGUGCAGGAUGAGCCCGCGGCCUAUCAGCUUGUUGGUGAGGGAGUGGCUCACCAAGGCGACGACGGGUAGCCGGCCUGAGAGGGCGACCGGCCGCACUGGGACUGCGACGCGGCCCAGACUCGUGCGGGAGGCAGCAGUGGGGAAUAUUGCACAAUGGGCGCAAGCCUGAUGCAGCGACGCCGCGUGAGGGACGACGGCCUUCGGGUUGUAAACCUCUUUCAGCACAGACGAAGCGCGAGUGACGGUAUGUGCAGAAGAAGGACCGGCCAACUACGUGCCAGCCGCCGCGGUAA
RNAcentral lists this ribosomal RNA (479 nucleotides) under uncultured bacterium. RNAcentral describes it as "partial 16S ribosomal RNA". It matches the Rfam family "Bacterial small subunit ribosomal RNA", at positions 28 to 523 of the family's 1533-position model. The record is from RNAcentral.